This 268-nucleotide small nucleolar RNA is filed under the name Phaeoacremonium minimum UCRPA7. RNAcentral describes it as "Fungal small nucleolar RNA U3". It matches the Rfam family "Fungal small nucleolar RNA U3". Rfam says of the family: Small nucleolar RNAs (snoRNAs) are involved in the processing and modification of rRNA in the nucleolus. There are two main classes of snoRNAs: the box C/D class, and the box H/ACA class. Lineage: Eukaryota; Fungi; Ascomycota; Sordariomycetes; Togniniales; Togniniaceae. The record is from Rfam by way of RNAcentral.
UUCCCCCCUUUUCAGGAGAAUCAUUUCUAUAGUAUUCGACCUCUUCUAGGUUCCCUAAAGGAGCCACAGAUCCCAACCAGGUUGAUGACUACAAAUCCUCGAUGCCCUAGAGUGAAGCCGACUUUUACUCUCGCCCUGUCCGCAAGGAUGGCGGUCGUUGCCUUUGGCGGCGACUGUAUAGAGAGUGGUGAUGAUCUCUACCCUGAUUUCCCGAGGUCUUGCCUUCGGGCGCUUGGGCAGGGUGGGCGUCGAUGGACGUCUGACUGGC